AAUAAUUCGGUAGGUGAGACUACUAUAGGGAUACGGGUUGCUGCCGCAAGUAAGUGGAGACACUUUUAGAUGGUUAACAAGUCAUGUCGAAAAGCAAGGCAUGAUUUAAUGCAAUUUCAUCGCCCUACAAAGUUGAAGCUUGAACGAUG
Molecule: small RNA, 149 nt
Filed under: bovine gut metagenome
Description: M-box riboswitch (ykoK leader)
Rfam family: M-box riboswitch aptamer (ykoK leader)
About the family: M-box riboswitch, also know as ykoK leader is described as a metaloregulatory RNA that sense divalent metals and function as a genetic control element of genes related to divalent metal transport in bacteria.
Source: RNAcentral